Long non-coding RNA from Oryza brachyantha (malo sina), 698 nucleotides. RefSeq lists it as uncharacterized. Lineage: Eukaryota; Viridiplantae; Streptophyta; Magnoliopsida; Poales; Poaceae. The transcript has 3 exons. The record is from RefSeq and is a predicted model, not a curated record.
UCACGUCUUGGCGUAGUCCGUCGCGCUCUCCUCCCUUUCGCCGCCAGCGCCGGCGCGCUCGAGCAAAUCGCCGCCCGCCCGCCCGCCACGCUGUCUUCCUCGACCUUCCCUCCCGCGUCGUCGGCAGUCUCGUACUCCGUCGUCGUCCUCGAGUCCCCCACGCCACCACCCGCGCGCCGCGCCCUCAAUCCAGGCGUGCGUCGUUGUCCUCCGUCGCGCAUCCUUAUUAUCUUCUCGCCCGUGCUCUUUCUUCCCGCCAGAAUCGUUGCCCUGAGAGGAAUUGAUGGCGAAAAGGCAUUCUCCAUGUCGCCUGCCGUUUAUCGUUUAUUGGAAAGCCCGUUUCUUCGAUCCCUUCUCAAAUCACAUGAAUCAGCCUUUCGCAAAUGUCACAAGAUCAAACUAUUCAAUUGACUGGAACCUGGAGAGGCUGUAUGGCACAGCCAGCGUGGGAAGAAUUCUCUCUUCGCAUUUUUAGACGAUUUUUUGUAACCAUAAUGAUGAUGAGAAACAGUGUUAAUUUUGUUUUAGUUGCCAACAAUGAUGUAACUGAUUGCGUAGGGAGAGAAAGAAAUAUAAUCUCUCUCACAAUCUCUGACCAUGUCUAUUUCAUCAGGAAAUAGAAUGUGAUUCUGGUGUUCUUAUUUUCCUAGUGUGCAAUUUGUUCUGGAGUGCAAUUUGUGGGAUCCUGAGGUUGGAUU